Rana temporaria (common frog) is the source of this 640-nucleotide long non-coding RNA. RefSeq lists it as uncharacterized. The transcript is spliced from 3 exons. NCBI's taxonomy places the organism in Eukaryota, Metazoa, Chordata, Amphibia, Anura, Ranidae. The record is from RefSeq and is a predicted model, not a curated record.
GUUCUGACUAACCUCAUACGUAAUAUAUAGAUAACAGAUUGUGCAGGAAGCUCUGUCUGGUAAUAAAGUGCCAGUCUGUGCCAGGUACAGACAGAUCUUCCUUAGCUAAUUCAGCCAAUAAGAAGUGUUAUCGUUGUUUCACUGUAAGGAUGAGAAGGAGGGGGCUCCCUUCUUCUCUCUCUCUUUUGCCUUUUCUCUCACCUUGUAAGCAUCACUAAAAUGUAUUACUGCAUUUUGGAUUAAAUGAUCUUCACUUUCAAACACCUGGAUUUCGAUUGAUUACAAGGAAAGAAAUAACAUAACAUUUUGGUCCUCCGAGCGAAAAUCAAUGGAUGGAGCCCUUGGGUUGACACCGAUACCGACAGAAUCCAGUGAGUAUUGGACCUCAAAAGCUCACUGAGAAACCCCACUCACGUUCGUAUUAAACAGGGACUGCUUGGCGCCGGAUUUGACCCAAAUCCACCAUCUGGUUCUGAACCUGAAUUGACUUAGUCUUCUGGUGUUUGAGAGGGGAAAACGACAUAGAUCACAUGACCAGUGAGGAUGGAGGACCGGACUCACAUGACUGAGAAGAUACUAAACCUCACCCUGGAGAUCAUCUACCUGCUGACCGGAGAGAGAUUUCCUCUUGUGAAGUCAG